GUGAAGGUGAUAUAAAACCAUCAUCGAGGAAUGCUUGGCACGACGUAGAGUGUCGUAUUGAUAAUGAUUUCCUUGGCAAAGACUCAGAAAUGCCUGCCUUGUGUCAAAAAACUCACUUUCUAGGAUCUCAUCAUUAUCUUUAGUGUCUGGAGCCACAUCUGUGAUUUCAAUCGGGCGGAACACAUGUUUCUCCCUACUAUUGAUUGGAUGUCUCUCCCGUUCUUCAAGUCUUCGUUCCACGUCAAAACACUUAUCACAGAGCUGGAAGUUUUUGCAAUGGUUGCAAACCCAGCGUGUCCCUGAUACCAUUAGUGUACAGCAAUGAUUGCAUGCAUGUUGUAAAUGAACCAUAAUAAAAUCUUCUUUCAUGGGGCAUAUAGUCUCGCCAAGCUUUUGCAUCAGAAGGGCGUCUUUAGAUGCAUUGCCGGUAAGAUCAGCAUGACCAGCAGCUUUUAGAGCUCUUUUUGUUAUAGUCUUCUUCGUUUU
RNAcentral lists this unclassified non-coding RNA (486 nucleotides) under Hevea brasiliensis (rubber tree). The record is from RNAcentral. Lineage: Eukaryota; Viridiplantae; Streptophyta; Magnoliopsida; Malpighiales; Euphorbiaceae.